GAGGGGAGCUUGCUCCCUGAUUCAGCGGCGGACGGGUGAGUAAUGCCUAGGAAUCUGCCUGGUAGUGGGGGACAACGUUUCGAAAGGAACGCUAAUACCGCAUACGUCCUACGGGAGAAAGCAGGGGACCUUCGGGCCUUGCGCUAUCAGAUGAGCCUAGGUCGGAUUAGCUAGUUGGUGAGGUAAUGGCUCACCAAGGCUGCGAUCCGUAACUGGUCUGAGAGGAUGAUCAGUCACACUGGAACUGAGACACGGUCCAGACUCCUACGGGAGGCAGCAGUGGGGAAUAUUGGACAAUGGGCGAAAGCCUGAUCCAGCCAUGCCGCGUGUGUGAAGAAGGUCUUCGGAUUGUAAAGCACUUUAAGUUGGGAGGAAGGGCAGUAAGUUAAUACCUUGCUGUUUUGACGUUACCGACAGAAUAAGCACCGGCUAACUUCGUGCCAGCAGCCGCGGUAAUACGAAGGGUGCAAGCGUUAAUCGGAAUUACUGGGCGUAAAGCGCGCGUAGGUGGUUUGUUAAGUUGGAAGUGAAAGCCCCGGGCUCAACCUGGGAACUGCUUUCAAAACUGGCAAGCUAGAGUAUGGCAGAGGGUGGUGGAAUUUCCUGUGUAGCGGUGAAAUGCGUAGAUAUAGGAAGGAACACCAGUGGCGAAGGCGACCACCUGGGCUAAUACUGACACUGAGGUGCGAAAGCGUGGGGAGCAAACAGGAUUAG
RNAcentral lists this ribosomal RNA (714 nucleotides) under Psychrobacter sp. KF-21. RNAcentral describes it as "bacterial SSU rRNA". It matches the Rfam family "Bacterial small subunit ribosomal RNA", at positions 71 to 781 of the family's 1533-position model. The record is from RNAcentral. Lineage: Bacteria; Pseudomonadati; Pseudomonadota; Gammaproteobacteria; Moraxellales; Moraxellaceae.